AUUGAACGCUGGCGGCAUGCCUAACACAUGCAAGUCGAACGGCAGCGCGGGGUAACCUGGCGACGAGUGGCGAACGGGUGAGUAAUGCAUCGGAACGUGCCCUGGAAUGGGGGAUAACGUAGCGGAAGUUACGCUAAUACCGCAUAUUCUGUGAGCAGGAAAGCAGGGGAUCGCAAGACCUUGCGUUCUGGGAGCGGCCGAUGUCGGAUUAGCUAGUUGGUGGGGUAAAGGCCUACCAAGGCGACGAUCCGUAGCGGGUCUGAGAGGAUGAUCCGCCACACUGGGACUGAGACACGGCCCAGACUCCUACGGGAGGCAGCAGUGGGGAAUUUUGGACAAUGGGCGGAAGCCUGAUCCAGCCAUGCCGCGUGAGUGAAGAAGGCCUCGG
Molecule: ribosomal RNA, 388 nt
Filed under: uncultured bacterium
Lineage: Bacteria
Description: bacterial SSU rRNA
Rfam family: Bacterial small subunit ribosomal RNA
Source: RNAcentral